RNAcentral lists this ribosomal RNA (590 nucleotides) under uncultured bacterium. Its description in RNAcentral is "bacterial SSU rRNA". It matches the Rfam family "Bacterial small subunit ribosomal RNA", at positions 53 to 643 of the family's 1533-position model. The record is from RNAcentral.
ACAUGCAAGUCGAGUGCGCGUUCCGUANCAAUACGGAAUGGCGCACGGCGCACGGGUGCGUAACACGUGGGUAAUCUGCCCUUCGGUGGGGAAUAACUCCGGGAAACCGGAGCUAAUUCCGCAUGACAUUCCUUGGACUUCGGUUCGAGGAUUCAAAGCCGCAAGGCGCCGGAGGUGGAGCCCGCGCACGAUUAGCUAGUUGGUAGGGUAACGGCCUACCAAGGCUAUGAUCGUUAGCUGGUCUGAGAGGAUGGCCAGCCACACUGGAACUGAGACACGGUCCAGACUCCUACGGGAGGCAGCAGUGGGGAAUCUUGCGCAAUGGGCGAAAGCCUGACGCAGCGACGCCGCGUGGGGGAUGAAGCUUCUCGGAGUGUAAACCCCUUUCGACUGGGAAGAAUACCUCGCAAGAGGGGUGACGGUACCAGUAGAAGAAGCCCCGGCUAACUACGUGCCAGCAGCCGCGGUAAGACGUAGGGGGCCAGCGUUGUUCGGAAUUACUGGGUGUAAAGGGUCAGUAGGCGGUGUGGCAAGUCGGGAGUGAAAUCUAUGGGCUUAACCCAUAGGCUGCUUCCGAAACUGCUGUGCUU